GAGUUUGAUCCUGGCUCAGGACGAACGCUGGCGGCGUGCUUAACACAUGCAAGUCGAACGGAGCACCCCUGAAGGAGUUUUCGGACAACGGAUGGGAAUGCUUAGUGGCGGACUGGUGAGUAACGCGUGAGGAACCUGCCUUCCAGAGGGGGACAACAGUUGGAAACGACUGCUAAUACCGCAUGAUGCGUUGGAGCCGCAUGACUCCGACGCCAAAGAUUUAUCGCUGGAAGAUGGCCUCGCGUCUGAUUAGCUAGUUGGUGAGGUAACGGCCCACCAAGGCGACGAUCAGUAGCCGGACUGAGAGGUUGGCCGGCCACAUUGGGACUGAGAUACGGCCCAGACUCCUACGGGAGGCAGCAGUGGGGAAUAUUGGGCAAUGGACGCAAGUCUGACCCAGCAACGCCGCGUGAAGGAAGAAGGCUUUCGGGUUGUAAACUUCUUUUAAGGGGGAAGAGCAGAAGACGGUACCCCUUGAAUAAGCCACGGCUAACUACGUGCCAGCAGCCGCGGUAAUACGUAGGUGGCAAGCGUUGUCCGGAUUUACUGGGUGUAAAGGGCGUGCAGCCGGAGAGACAAGUCAGAUGUGAAAUCCACGGGCUCAACCCGUGAACUGCAUUUGAAACUGUUUCCCUUGAGUGUCGGAGAGGUAAUCGGAAUUCCUUGUGUAGCGGUGAAAUGCGUAGAUAUAAGGAAGAACACCAGUGGCGAAGGCGGAUUACUGGACGAUAACUGACGGUGAGGCGCGAAAGCGUGGGGAGCAAACAGGAU
This 771-nucleotide ribosomal RNA is filed under the name uncultured bacterium. RNAcentral's name for it is "bacterial SSU rRNA". It matches the Rfam family "Bacterial small subunit ribosomal RNA", at positions 9 to 778 of the family's 1533-position model. The record is from RNAcentral.